This 1399-nucleotide long non-coding RNA is filed under the name Canis lupus familiaris (dog). Its description in RNAcentral is "lncRNA (ENSCAFG00040006499.1)". The record is from RNAcentral. Lineage: Eukaryota; Metazoa; Chordata; Mammalia; Carnivora; Canidae.
AUGUUUGCCCGGGAGCUGAAGUCUGCACCUACGGAACCGAAAAGAUCCUUUAGUAGAGCCCAUGCGCGACGCAGGUUAAUGGGGAGGAGAGGAAUUCCCGGGCUGGAGGAGAUUCGAGGUGCUCAGGGCAGCCGGGUCCCCGGGCGGCCCCCUCCCCAUCCCAAACUCACAGCUCCCCUAGCCUGUCCCAUCUCAGGCAACCCCAUCCUUCUGGGCGCCCAGGCCCAAACCCCGAGUGCCACCUCGCUUCGUGCCCUCCCGGCCUCAGCCAACCUGGUGGCAGAGCCCCGAGGGCGCCGCCUUCAGAGGCACCGACAGUCUGCUUCCCGCACCGUCUCGGGGUCCCCCUGUGGCCCCCACAACUCCUCUCCAGCACCAGGCCCUGAGGGAUCAGUUGAUCUAAGUCAGAUCACGCCCCUGCCCCGCUUCAAACCCUCUGGUCGCUCACGUCGCUCAGGCUCACAUUGCUCAGCCGGCGCCAGAGUCCUGGGGUCCCCGAGCUCCUGCGGGCUCUGGUCCCGUCACCCCUCUUGUCCGCCUGCACUCGCCCGUGCCAGCCCCCCUGCAGGCCCAUGGCCCUGGGCCCAGGCCCCUCCCACUGGGGACGCUCUCCCCCACAGGCCCACGGGGCUCAGGCCCACCCUAGCUGCAGGCCUCUCCUCACAGAGACCCUCACUGGCCACUCUUGCUUUAAACCGUGCCCCCCCCACCCGCCAACCAGCCCCACCACCUACUUUUUUUUUUUUUAAUUUUUUUAAUUUAUUUAUGAUAGUCAUACACAGAGAGAGAGAGAAAGAGGCAGAGACACAGGCAGAGGGAGAAGCAGGCUCCAUGCACCGGGAGCUUGACGUGGGACUCGAUCCCGGGUCUCCAGGAUCGUGCCCUGGGCCAAAGGCAGGCGCUAAACCGCUGCGCCACCCAGGGAUCCCCCACCGCCUACUUUCUUUGUCACCGUCUCACAAACCGUUUCCAUUUCCCAUUUCCUCGUUCAUCUUUCCUCUCUUUCCUUUUUUUUCUCUCCGCUGGGACCCAGGCUCUGCAGAGGCCGGAGGGCUGGCCUGCCGCGCCCAGUGCUCGGAACUGUGCCUGGAAUACAGCAGGUGCUCAGAGAACGUUCGCUGGGCCAGUGGGUGACCCAACAGAGCUCGGAGGGAGAGGAGCCGCGCUCGGACGGCUCCCUCCAGGCCCACGCGGGAGCUCAGCGAGGCGCACAGGGCGCGGGGCUCCCUGCCUCCGAUUUCGCGGCGGGUUAGGGGUUUCGAACAUCUCCUAGAGCCAUUCACAUCUAGGUUUCCGCAGAGCAACUGUCGCCUGUAGAGCGGGAACCGCGGUCCCCAAGCCGGGCAGCGGUCAGAGGGUCGGGGGCUGCUCUGGGCCAGCGCUGCGCGUCCGCGGCCAG